CGGCGGACGGGUGAGUAAUGCCUGGGAAAUUGCCCUGAUGUGGGGGAUAACCAUUGGAAACGAUGGCUAAUACCGCAUAACGUCUACGGACCAAAGAGGGGGACCUUCGGGCCUCUCGCUUCAGGAUAUGCCCAGGUGGGAUUAGCUAGUUGGUGAGGUAAUGGCUCACCAAGGCGACGAUCCCUAGCUGGUCUGAGAGGAUGAUCAGCCACACUGGAACUGAGACACGGUCCAGACUCCUACGGGAGGCAGCAGUGGGGAAUAUUGCACAAUGGGCGCAAGCCUGAUGCAGCCAUGCCGCGUGUAUGAAGAAGGCCUUCGGGUUGUAAAGUACUUUCAGUCGUGAGGAAGGCAUUAACGUUAAUAGCGUUAGUGUUUGACGUUAGCGACAGAAGAAGCACCGGCUAACUCCGUGCCAGCAGCCGCGGUAAUACGGAGGGUGCGAGCGUUAAUCGGAAUUACUGGGCGUAAAGCGCAUGCAGGUGGUUUGUUAAGUCAGAUGUGAAAGCCCGGGGCUCANCCUCGGAACCGCAUUUGAAACUGGCAGGCUAGAGUACUGUAGAGGGGGGUAGAAUUUCAGGUGUAGCGGUGAAAUGCGUAGAGAUCUGA
Molecule: ribosomal RNA, 609 nt
Filed under: Vibrio sp. KR04-59
Lineage: Bacteria; Pseudomonadati; Pseudomonadota; Gammaproteobacteria; Vibrionales; Vibrionaceae
Description: bacterial SSU rRNA
Rfam family: Bacterial small subunit ribosomal RNA
Source: RNAcentral